UCCGGUUUGUCACCGGCAGUCAUCCUAGAGUGCCCAUCAUUACAUGCUGGCAACUAAGAUCAAGGGUUGCGCUCGUUGCGGGACUUAACCCAACAUCUCACGACACGAGCUGACGACAACCAUGCACCACCUGUCUCCAAUGCUCCGAAGAGGGGUACUAUCUCUAAUACUUUCAUUGGGAUGUCAAGACCUGGUAAGGUUCUUCGCGUUGCUUCGAAUUAAACCACAUACUCCACUGCUUGUGCGGGUCCCCGUCAAUUCCUUUGAGUUUCAGUCUUGCGGCCGUACUCCCCAGGCGGGGUGCUUAAUGCGUUAGCUUCGGCACGGAGGGAGUCGACACCCCCCACACCUAGCACCCAUCGUUUACAGCGUGGACUAC
Molecule: unclassified non-coding RNA, 379 nt
Filed under: uncultured Paenibacillaceae bacterium
Lineage: Bacteria; Bacillati; Bacillota; Bacilli; Caryophanales; Paenibacillaceae
Description: contains 16S-23S intergenic spacer region
Source: RNAcentral